Stegostoma tigrinum is the source of this 1296-nucleotide long non-coding RNA. RefSeq lists it as uncharacterized. The record is from RefSeq and is a predicted model, not a curated record. The transcript is spliced from 4 exons. Lineage: Eukaryota; Metazoa; Chordata; Chondrichthyes; Orectolobiformes; Stegostomatidae.
GACGGAAAACUUCUCCUCGGGAUUGGUUACCUCCUCCAUCAAUUACAUCAAAUCAGAUUCCACCCACUGGCUAGAUCCUUGUUUAUCAUGCUUUCUCGAAGAAGUGAAAGUGCACGCUAGUAUUAAUUGAGUUUAUUGUUCGUUUCUCCGGUCCAGAUAUCUUCAGUAAGGGGGUUUCGCUGUUCAUUCACCUCAACAGAUCAGUUGGAUGAUGUGGUCACGGCCUGCGCCACACCCCGAGAAGAGGCCCUGCGUCAUGCUAAUGUCAAUCGGUGUUGCCCAUUGGUCUACAGUCUGAAAGCUCUAGCCAAUGGAAAAGUCGUACGGCCGCCGGUCAAGGGGUUAGGAGCCCUCAGUGGCAGGUAGCCUGUCAGUCAUUUGAAUCCCGCCUUUUCCCUCUCCUCAGGGGUUGGGAAGCAGCUGCAUCUGAGAGUAAAGGAAUCCCUUUGCUUCGUGGCCCCACAGCACAGGUGGAUUGAGGAGAGGCAGGAAUGGUGUGUGAGAUCUAAAAUGGUGCUGGAUUCAUUUUUAAUGCUGCAGUAUUCUGAAAGAAAAUCGAAAUAGAAAAUAUACACUUAAAAAGGAAACAUCUGCAGAACCAAGGAGCAGUAGGAGAUGGAUUGUUUGUUUAAAGAAUUGAGACACUGAUGGGCCGAAUGGCCUCACGCUGGGCUACAUCAUCCCAAUCUCUACGUUCAUCACUUUGAUGUUGAGGCAACUGGGCUCUGCAGUUUUCAUUAACCAAUCCAAAUCUAUUGUUAUUGUGGUGUGCUGAACCACUGUACUCUGAUUGUUUGAUUCUUUUCUACAGGACCUUUACCCAAAGGUCUUUAUUGGUGAUUUUUACGAAGGUGAUGCGUUUUGCAUGUUCUAACAGUUGACAGAUUGACUUCAAGCGACGGAGGAAAUAAUUGGGAACUUAGCACUAUCUGACUUUUGCAGGAAUUUUAGAAAUUGGAUUUUUAAGAGAUCACAUUUAUAUCUUAUGAUCCUAUUGUGCAUUAUACAUUUUGACUACAUGCCAACUGUAGGAGCAGUAAAAUGCUAUUAAGCAUCAACCAUGGCUCAGUGAUAAUAUUCUCAUCACGUAGGCAUGAAGCUAUGGGUACAACCCCACUCUAAAGAUUAGAGCCACAUAAUUUAGUCUUGCAUUUCAACACAAUACUUUCAAAUGCAGUAUUAAGAUCAGCCCUUUCCUGCGCUUGUAGGUAAAUGAAAAUGUCCAAUUGCACUGUCCAAAGGAGAAUAGGUGCAUUCUCAUUGUUGUCCUGUUCAAUAUUUAACCCUCAAACAACA